Molecule: non-coding RNA, 108 nt
Organism: Acanthosepion pharaonis
Lineage: Eukaryota; Metazoa; Mollusca; Cephalopoda; Sepiida; Sepiidae
Source: the annotation of a GenBank genome assembly
CCACAUCAUAUUGAAAAACUGGUUCUCAUCUGAUUACUGAAGUUAAGCAACAAUGAGCUUGGUUAGUAACUAAAUGGGUAAUCGCUUGGAAAUACCAGGUGCUGUAAG